Molecule: ribosomal RNA, 467 nt
Filed under: uncultured bacterium
Lineage: Bacteria
Description: partial 16S ribosomal RNA
Rfam family: Bacterial small subunit ribosomal RNA
Source: RNAcentral
GACGAACGCUGGCGGCGUGCUUAACACAUGCAAGUCGAACGGAAAGGCCCUGCUUUUGUGGGGUGCUCGAGUGGCGAACGGGUGAGUAACACGUGAGUAACCUGCCCUUGACUUUGGGAUAACUUCAGGAAACUGGGGCUAAUACCGGAUAGGAGCUCCUGCUGCAUGGUGGGGGUUGGAAAGUUUCGGCGGUUGGGGAUGGACUCGCGGCUUAUCAGCUUGUUGGUGGGGUAGUGGCUUACCAAGGCUUUGACGGGUAGCCGGCCUGAGAGGGUGACCGGCCACAUUGGGACUGAGAUACGGCCCAGACUCCUACGGGAGGCAGCAGUGGGGAAUAUUGCACAAUGGGCGGAAGCCUGAUGCAGCAACGCCGCGUGCGGGAUGACGGCCUUCGGGUGGUAAACCGCUUUCGCCUGUGACGAAGCGUGAGUGACGGUAAUGGGUAAAGAAGCACCGGCUAACACGUG